ACCACAACGGGUGGAGCUUCCGGUUUAAUUGGAUUCAACGCCGGAAAUCUUACCGGGACCGACAGCGAUAUGAAGGCCAGGCUGAAGACUUUGCCGGAUUAGCUGAGAGGUGGUGCAUGGCCGUCGUCAGUUCGUACUGUGAAGCAUCCUGUUAAGUCAGGCAACGAGCGAGACCCACGCCCACAGUUGCCAGCGUACUCUCCGGAGUGACGGGUACACUGUGGGGACCGCCGCUGCUAAAGCGGAGGAAGGAAUGGGCAACGGUAGGUCAGUAUGCCCCGAAUAUCCCGGGCUACACGCGAGCUACAAUGGUUGGUACAAUGGGUAUCUACCCCGAAAGGGGAUGGUAAUCUCCUAAAGCCAAUCUUAGUCCGGAUUGAGGGCUGCAACUCGCCCUCAUGAAGCUGGAAUCCGUAGU
This 418-nucleotide ribosomal RNA is filed under the name uncultured Methanosaeta sp. RNAcentral describes it as "bacterial SSU rRNA". It matches the Rfam family "Archaeal small subunit ribosomal RNA", at positions 878 to 1295 of the family's 1478-position model. Lineage: Archaea; Methanobacteriati; Methanobacteriota; Methanomicrobia; Methanotrichales; Methanotrichaceae. The record is from RNAcentral.